AUGGCUCAGACGAACGCUGGCGGCGCGUUUAAGCAUGCAAGUCGAGCGGCAAGGGCCUUCGGGCCCUAGAGCGGCGGACGGGUGAGUAACACGUGGACAAUCUGCCCCCGGCCCGGGAUAGCCCAGGGAAACCUGGAUUAAUACCGGAUGAGACGGGACCCGCGAUGGCGGGAUCCGGGAAAGGCGCUGCGGCGCCGCCGGGGGAUGAGUCUGCGUCCCAUUAGCUAGACGGCGGGGUAACGGCCCACCGUGGCGACGAUGGGUAGCCGGCCUGAGAGGGUGGACGGCCACAUUGGAACUGAGACACGGUCCAGACUCCUACGGGAGGCAGCAGCUAAGAAUCUUCCGCAAUGGGCGAAAGCCUGACGGAAGCGACGCCGCGUGAACGAAGAAGGCCGUGAGGUUGUAAAGUUCUUUUCGGGAGGGGGAACAACCGGGGCAGGGAAUGGCCGCGGGAUGACGUGAAUCCCGGAAUAAGCCCCGGCUAACUACGUGCCAGCAGCGGC
This 506-nucleotide ribosomal RNA is filed under the name uncultured bacterium. RNAcentral describes it as "bacterial SSU rRNA". It matches the Rfam family "Bacterial small subunit ribosomal RNA", at positions 19 to 518 of the family's 1533-position model. The record is from RNAcentral.